AUUGAACGCUGGCGGCAGGCCUAACACAUGCAAGUCGAGCGGAUGAAGGGUGCUUGCUUCUGGAUUCAGCGGCGGACGGGUGAGUAAUGCCUAGGAAUCUCCCUGGCUGUGGGGGAUAACGUCCGGAAACGGGCGCUAAUACCGCAUACGUCCUGAGGGAGAAAGUGGGGGAUCUUUGGACCUCACGCUAUUAGAUGAGCCUAGGUCGGAUUAGCUAGUUGGUGGGGUAAAGGCCUACCAAGGCGACGAUCCGCAACUGGUGUGAGAGAAUGAUUAGGCGCAUUGGAACGGAGACACGAUCCAGAGUCCUAAGGGAAGAAGCAGUGGGGAAUGUUGGACAAUGGGCGGAAGCCUGAUCCAGCGAUGCCGAGUGUGUGAAGAAGGUCUUGGGAUUGUAAAGCACUUUAAGUGGGGAGGAAGGGCAGUAGGUUAAUACCUUGCUGUUUUGACGGUACCAGCAGAAUAAGCACCGGCUAACUACGUG
This 484-nucleotide ribosomal RNA is filed under the name uncultured bacterium. RNAcentral describes it as "partial 16S ribosomal RNA". It matches the Rfam family "Bacterial small subunit ribosomal RNA", at positions 30 to 507 of the family's 1533-position model. The record is from RNAcentral.